UCUCCCUGCAUGAUGGAGGUCAGUCUUAAACCUGGGCCAUGCACAUGACAAAGCAAUGUGCCACCAUCCAGGAUUUUGCUGGAGAUACAUGCCUGCAGAAUUCCACUGCUCUCAGUGGUCUCUCCCCCCCCCCCCCAUCACUUCCAACUCAGGAACAACCCAGUAAUAUGUUCUGCUUUAGAGCAAAGGCCCAGAGGCGUGAAAUGGACUAGCUCUUGGAAAAUUGGAAGCUACCAGGUUCCAGAUGCCAGCAUGAUGCCAACGAGACUUCCCUGGACAGACAACCCCACCAAUGUGUCCUGGAGCUCUGCUUCCCCAGAGCCCCACCCCACUAGGGAAAGAGAGAGGCAGGCUGGGAGUAUGGAUCCACCUGUCAACACCCAUGUUCAGCAGGGAAGCAAUUACAGAAGCCAGACCUUCCACCUUCUGCAACCCACAACGACCCUGGAUCCAUACUCCCAGAGGGAUAAAGAAUAGGAAAACUAUCAAGGGAGGGGAUGGGAUACAGAGUUCUGGUGAUGGGAACUGUGUGGAGUUGUACCCCUCUUAUCCUAUGGUUUUGUCAAUGUUU
This is a long non-coding RNA of Erinaceus europaeus (western European hedgehog), 571 nucleotides long. RefSeq lists it as uncharacterized. The record is from RefSeq and is a predicted model, not a curated record. The transcript is spliced from 4 exons. NCBI's taxonomy places the organism in Eukaryota, Metazoa, Chordata, Mammalia, Eulipotyphla, Erinaceidae.